AUGCGCGAGCACUAUGAUCUUUCGACCCCUGCCAACAUGCGGGACACCGAACCUGAAUGGAUCUUCCGUCUACUCGACAAGUUUCAUGAAGUGCAAAAGCUAGACUCAUUGAUGAUCAUGUGGGGGAUUUGGUACGUGCGGAAUGAGAUCACACAUAAUAAACCCCCUGUUCUGAUUGAAGCAUCGCGCCAAUUCUUAUCAAGCUACAUCACGUCCCUACUUGUCAUCAAACAAUAUCCAGCUGCCCACCUGCCGAAAGGGAAAUAUGUCAUUGACCUUAUUGGGAGUAUGCGUCGCACCACACAAGAAAUAUUUCCGAAGCCGCACUGGGUAGUACCUGAUGUAGACCAUGCCAAGCUCAACAUAUAUGGUGCGUUUGUGAAGGAAGAUGGCACGGCUGGAGCCGGGAUGAUCCUGCGUGAUCAUGAAGUGGAGAUGGACUGCGCUGGGUUGUUGCAAAUGAUUCAAUCAAGAGACGUUGAUAGAUCACAGUACGUGCUCCGUAUAAGAGAGACCAUAAAGAUUCUGAUUCAUGAAAGAAACAUUAGUCUAGCUAAGAUCAGUUGA
RNAcentral lists this ribosomal RNA (567 nucleotides) under Triticum aestivum (bread wheat). Its description in RNAcentral is "partial small subunit ribosomal RNA". The record is from RNAcentral. Lineage: Eukaryota; Viridiplantae; Streptophyta; Magnoliopsida; Poales; Poaceae.